GUUGGAGGGUUUCCGCCCUUCAGUGCUGCAGCUAACGCAUUAAGCACUCCGCCUGGGGAGUACGACCGCAAGGUUGAAACUCAAAGGAAUUGACGGGGGCCCGCACAAGCGGUGGAGCAUGUGGUUUAAUUCGAAGCAACGCGAAGAACCUUACCAGGUCUUGACAUCCUUUGACCACUCUAGAGAUAGAGCUUCCCCUUCGGGGGCAAAGUGACAGGUGGUGCAUGGUUGUCGUCAGCUCGUGUCGUGAGAUGUUGGGUUAAGUCCCGCAACGAGCGCAACCCUUAUUGUUAGUUGCCAUCAUUCAGUUGGGCACUCUAGCAAGACUGCCGGUGACAAACCGGAGGAAGGUGGGGAUGACGUCAAAUCAUCAUGCCCCUUAUGACCUGGGCUACACACGUGCUACAAUGGGAAGUACAACGAGUNGCGAAGUCGCGAGGCUAAGCUAAUCUCUUAAAGCUUCUCUCAGUUCGGAUUGCAGGCUGCAACUCGCCUGCAUGAAGCCGGAAUCG
RNAcentral lists this ribosomal RNA (512 nucleotides) under Enterococcus faecium. RNAcentral's name for it is "bacterial SSU rRNA". It matches the Rfam family "Bacterial small subunit ribosomal RNA", at positions 822 to 1334 of the family's 1533-position model. Lineage: Bacteria; Bacillati; Bacillota; Bacilli; Lactobacillales; Enterococcaceae. The record is from RNAcentral.